This 253-nucleotide ribosomal RNA is filed under the name uncultured bacterium. RNAcentral's name for it is "partial 16S ribosomal RNA". It matches the Rfam family "Bacterial small subunit ribosomal RNA", at positions 524 to 776 of the family's 1533-position model. The record is from RNAcentral.
UACGAAGGGGGCUAGCGUUGCUCGGAAUCACUGGGCGUAAAGCGCACGUAGGCGGCUUUCUAAGUCAGGGGUGAAAUCCUGGAGCUCAACUCCAGAACUGCCUUUGAUACUGGAAAGCUUGAGUUCGGGAGAGGUGAGUGGAACUGCGAGUGUAGAGGUGAAAUUCGUAGAUAUUCGCAAGAACACCAGUGGCGAAGGCGGCUCACUGGCCCGGUACUGACGCUGAGGCACGAAAGCGUGGGGAGCAAACAGG